GAGCGGCAGCGGAAGUAGCUUGCUACUUUGCCGGCGAGCGGCGGACGGGUGAGUAAUGUCUGGGAAACUGCCUGAUGGAGGGGGAUAACUACUGGAAACGGUAGCUAAUACCGCAUGACCUCGAAAGAGCAAAGUGGGGGAUCUUCGGACCUCACGCCAUCGGAUGUGCCCAGAUGGGAUUAGCUAGUAGGUGAGGUAAUGGCUCACCUAGGCGACGAUCCCUAGCUGGUCUGAGAGGAUGACCAGCCACACUGGAACUGAGACACGGUCCAGACUCCUACGGGAGGCAGCAGU
RNAcentral lists this ribosomal RNA (294 nucleotides) under Rahnella aquatilis. RNAcentral's name for it is "partial 16S ribosomal RNA". It matches the Rfam family "Bacterial small subunit ribosomal RNA", at positions 64 to 355 of the family's 1533-position model. The record is from RNAcentral. Lineage: Bacteria; Pseudomonadati; Pseudomonadota; Gammaproteobacteria; Enterobacterales; Yersiniaceae.